This 1429-nucleotide long non-coding RNA is filed under the name Eucalyptus grandis. Its description in RNAcentral is "long non-coding RNA (EGRA_LNC002208)". Lineage: Eukaryota; Viridiplantae; Streptophyta; Magnoliopsida; Myrtales; Myrtaceae. The record is from RNAcentral.
GCAAUCUUUCGAGAAGACUAGUUAUUUGUCUCAGCAGAGAAUUCUCACAAGGAAUCUCACCUGCCAGUGCAAUCGGUACAUACUCUAAUUUGUACCCAUAGAUACACAUCUUCUAUGCAACAAUCCUUUUUACAUUGAAGAAACAGAAGCCACAUUUCAGAGGAUACAUAGGACACGGAGAUGGCAGCAAUUGGUUCGUUUGUUUUCCCAUGUGUGCAAGAAAUAUUCUGGUAGGCCAUAAACAUGGCUAAUGAGUAACUCGUUAGAAUACUCGUCAUCUCUUUCAAAUUACAUGCAUUCAUUCUCCUGUCUUUUUACACAUUCUAUAGUAGGUGGGCUCUCCAAAUUUACGGACGGAGGCCUCUCAAACUUCUUUAACACCCCCAAUUUGAUGCAACUGCCAUGACUGAUGCAUUUGAGUCGCAGCUUUGGCUGUUGCCAGAGAAGCCAUUGUGUUAUCCUGCAAUAUCGGUUGGUUAGUUCUUGGCAAACAAGAAAACUACCGAUAAUCCAGAUAUAUUUUUCACUAAAUCCCUGAACAAAAAGCCGAUAAUCGAGAAAAACACCAAUGAUCCAGAUAUAGUUUUCACAGAAUCUCCUCAGCAGAAAGCUGAUAAGAUAUGGACCUAUGGUGGAGCAGUUGCAUCCCUCUUUAUUGCACCAGUGAAACAUCCAUCCCCCAGUUCCGAUUAAACAAGAUCAUCAAGGUUUGACUCUAUUUUAAACUCCACCGAGCAGAACUCUCAGGCACGCAAUUUUUAAAUAAAUAAAAAAUUCUUUCAUUUCUAGCAAAGAAUCUGAUGGUACCAACAAAGCGAAAACCAGCGAGGACCCACGAAAGAGUACAGAAAAUAUUAAGGAAUUCGAAUACCGAGAGAAACUAAAGAAGAGAUAUAACAAAACAGAAAAAGAUAAAAAAAAAAAAAAAAAAAAGGAACGAAGAGGAGGGGCUUACAUGCUGAGCUGAGAGGAUCGAACAGGACCAGUGAAGAGAGAACGACCCCUACACAUUGUGGCAAAACAAGAAAUUUUGACAAUCAGCAGGCGAGCUUCACCCAAAACAUAUAUGCGGAUAUAAAAACCAGUAAAAAAAAAAACUGGAAAGCGGGACUUGUCGUCGCAGAUUUAGGGCUUCUCUGGAGAGACGGCUUUGAGCAGAGCGGAAAGUGGAAGCGAGUCGUCAAUGGAAGAUUAGACGAGAGAGCAGAGCCAUUGCUUCCUGGCCGCCAGUCGGGAGGGACGGAGAAAGCCGAGCCCAAUCGGUCAUCGGGAGAGAGCGGAAUCCAGGCAGACAGAGGUCACGAGAGUGAGCGGAGAGAAUGCCAUCGGGAGGAAGAGGCCGUCGUCUGGAGGGAGCGUUGUCGGAGUGAGCGCUAUUUGGGAGAGAAGAGAACGUCGUCGGGGAGAUAGUGAGAAGAGAGAAGAGAGA